RNAcentral lists this ribosomal RNA (519 nucleotides) under Triticum aestivum (bread wheat). RNAcentral's name for it is "partial small subunit ribosomal RNA". The record is from RNAcentral. Lineage: Eukaryota; Viridiplantae; Streptophyta; Magnoliopsida; Poales; Poaceae.
AUGACCUUCACAACCUUAGCGCACUGGAACAACAAGUGCAUAACAUUAGCCGGACCUUGGUUGCCAAAUUUUUCGAAGCCGCCGCGCUGGACGCAUAUGGAUGGUAUGAUCUUGUGUGAUCAUCUGGGAGCUAUUAACUUUUCUUCAUGCAGGGCUUUGUAUUCGUGCAGAGACCCCCUUGAGGCGGAGCUUCGUGCAUGUAUGGAGGGUAUAUCACUUGCUUUACAACGCAGUGAUCUGCCUGUUGCUUUGGAGUUGGAUUCCCUUGAGGUGGUUUCUCUCAUAUCAAGCUCGGACACAGAUCGAUCUGUUUACUCUUCAAUUGUUAGAGAGAUUAAGUACCUUAUGGGUCUUCGGAAAACCUGUAUCUCUCAUGUCGCGAGAACACAAAAUAAAGCUAGUGAUAGCUUAGCUAGUUUUGCUAGAACCCAAGGUAGGACCAUGACCUGGUUAGGUGCUGGUCCAGUUGAAGUAGUGGAGAUAGCUUUGAAUGAUUGUAAGGAUGUCGUGAUUGAGUAA